AGAGGGGUGUCCGAGUGGCUGAAGGAGCACGCUUGGAAAGCGUGUAAGUCAGCAAUGGCUUCGCGGGUUCGAAUCCCGCUCCCUCUG
This 87-nucleotide transfer RNA is filed under the name Arcticibacterium luteifluviistationis. It matches the Rfam family "tRNA". Rfam says of the family: Transfer RNA (tRNA) molecules are approximately 80 nucleotides in length. Their secondary structure includes four short double-helical elements and three loops (D, anti-codon, and T loops). Further hydrogen bonds mediate the characteristic L-shaped molecular structure. tRNAs have two regions of fundamental functional importance: the anti-codon, which is responsible for specific mRNA codon recognition, and the 3' end, to which the tRNAs corresponding amino acid is attached (by aminoacyl-tRNA synthetases). tRNAs cope with the degeneracy of the genetic code in two manners: having more than one tRNA (with a specific anti-codon) for a particular amino acid; and 'wobble' base-pairing, i.e. permitting non-standard base-pairing at the 3rd anti-codon position. The record is from Rfam by way of RNAcentral. RNAcentral also lists the same sequence under 1 other name. Lineage: Bacteria; Pseudomonadati; Bacteroidota; Cytophagia; Cytophagales; Leadbetterellaceae.